Molecule: long non-coding RNA, 364 nt
Organism: Cuculus canorus (common cuckoo)
Lineage: Eukaryota; Metazoa; Chordata; Aves; Cuculiformes; Cuculidae
Exons: 3
Source: RefSeq, a predicted model, not a curated record
AAGAAGAGAUUGUGAUGAAUCAUAAAACCCCAAGCAAUGUCCUGACCAGCUGCCUGGCUAUAAUCACCAGGAGAUUUGACCUUGCCUCUCCUAUCCCUCCCUGAAAGCAGCCUUGCCCAAUGAUUCAGUAAUUUCCAGGUUGAAUGUUCAUCCCACUAUUUACUGAGCAUUGGACAGUUUUCUUUGGAAACACUGGUGGCUGGAGAUCACCCAUUCUGCACAGACUACCUUAUUUCCAGCUUCUAAAUCAAUUCCUGUGGCAGGCUGUGAAGUUUUAGCAUUGAAUAGUGUAUUCACUUCAGCACCUAUUCAACUUAUGGAGUACCUGGGGCAACCAUGGGACAGAACCGGUCAAAUUAUUUCC